UACGUAGGGUGCAAGCGUUGUCCGGAAUUAUUGGGCGUAAAGAGCUCGUAGGCGGUUCGUCGCGUCGGCCGUGAAAACUUGGGGCUUAACCCCAAGCCUGCGGUCGAUACGGGCAGACUUGAGUUCGGCAGGGGAGACUGGAAUUCCUGGUGUAGCGGUGAAAUGCGCAGAUAUCAGGAGGAACACCGGUGGCGAAGGCGGGUCUCUGGGCCGAUACUGACGCUGAGGAGCGAAAGCGUGGGGAGCGAACAGG
Molecule: ribosomal RNA, 253 nt
Filed under: uncultured bacterium
Lineage: Bacteria
Description: partial 16S ribosomal RNA
Rfam family: Bacterial small subunit ribosomal RNA
Source: RNAcentral